Clupea harengus (Atlantic herring) is the source of this 102-nucleotide long non-coding RNA. RefSeq lists it as uncharacterized. The record is from RefSeq and is a predicted model, not a curated record. Lineage: Eukaryota; Metazoa; Chordata; Actinopteri; Clupeiformes; Clupeidae. The transcript has 3 exons.
AGAACAGGGGGAAUAUAUUAGUGUACUGCAGGCAGAGGUGAAGAACAGGGGGAAUAUAUUAGUGUACUGCAGGCAGAGGUGAAGAGUAGACUGGCUAUGUGA